GAUGAACGCUGGCGGCGUGCUUAACACAUGCAAGUCGAACGAAGCACUUUAUUUGAUUUCCUUCGGGACUGAUUAUUUUGUGACUGAGUGGCGGACGGGUGAGUAACGCGUGGGUAACCUGCCUUGUACAGGGGGAUAACAGCUGGAAACGGCUGCUAAUACCGCAUAAGCGCACAGCAUCGCAUGAUGCAGUGUGAAAAACUCCGGUGGUAUAGGAUGGACCCGCGUUGGAUUAGCUAGUUGGUGAGGUAACGGCCUACCAAGGCGACGAUCCAUAGCCGGGCUCAGAGAGUGACCGGCGACAUUGGGACUGGGAAGCGGCCCGAACUCCUGCGGGAGGGAGCAGUGGGGAAUAUUGCAAAAUGGGGGGAGGCCUGAUGGAGCUACGCUGCGUGAGCGAAGAAGUAUUGCGGUAUGUAAAGUACGAUCAGCAGGGGAGAUAAUGACGGUACCUGAAGAAGAAGCACCGGCUAAAUACGUG
This 481-nucleotide ribosomal RNA is filed under the name uncultured bacterium. RNAcentral's name for it is "partial 16S ribosomal RNA". It matches the Rfam family "Bacterial small subunit ribosomal RNA", at positions 28 to 507 of the family's 1533-position model. The record is from RNAcentral.